Long non-coding RNA from Sorghum bicolor (sorghum), 2945 nucleotides. RefSeq lists it as uncharacterized. The transcript has 5 exons. NCBI's taxonomy places the organism in Eukaryota, Viridiplantae, Streptophyta, Magnoliopsida, Poales, Poaceae. The record is from RefSeq and is a predicted model, not a curated record.
CUAGCUGUGCGUGCGUCCCUCCCUCCCUCCCUACCCUCUAUCUCUCCCGAUGUGGUGGCGCGGCCUCCUCCUAUGGCGCACAUAUCUCUCUCUCCCUGCUGAUAUGGUCGGGCAUGGCGGGUGCCCCCAGUGGCGCUCGCGCUGCGGCGGCGGCGGCGGCGCCCAGCCACAGGGUAGGGUUUCGCGAGGUGGCGACGGCGGCAUCCGGCCGUAGGGCUUGUGGAGCGUGCAUAGUGCGAGGGCACACGAGGGUCUACAUGGAGGAUUUGGUCCCCAAGCCGUGGGUGGUGCCGGCGCUGCUGUACAGGGAGGUGUAGUGGUGUGAGGGAGCGGUGGAGGACGUGGUGGGCUUCAUGUGCGGCCACUCGCUCACCGCCAUCGCUUCAGGUCCGUAUCACUACCCGUAUCCUCCAAUUUUGAUCCAUCUUUUAUUGGUUUUGAUGAAUUGGAUGAAGCAAUGGCUGUUUUGAGAAGCUGUAAUGGUGGCGGCUUCCAUAUGCACCGUGUUGCUGGUGAUGAAGGCAUUGACAGUUUGCAGAGUGUCAAUGAUAGCAGAAUCCUGGUGGCCACAGUUUUAGUUUCUAAAGUGCAGUCUCUUAUUCUUCUUUACUGAUCCCUAACCCUUAAGCCUGUGCAUUUUGAUCGCAUAGAUUCUAUACCAAUGGUUCCAUCUACUGUCAUCGCUAGCUUGCAGUUUAGACAAAGCUGUUAAUCUAUCUUCUUUAAUGGGGAAAACAUUUGAUGUGUCCCCAGGUUACACAAACUUGAAUUAUUCCAAGUGAACUUCUGUUUGAGUUUCGUUUCUCUUGUGCAUAUGAUGCCCUUAGGAUCUGUUAAAUGAAAGCUCAAGAUUUGUUUGCACAUUAAAUUUGAGUUUGGCAUUUUUCAAAACUGCAAGGGGAGCUAGAGGAUAUCCAAAGAGAAAGCACGAAUGGCUGCAUCUCAGGUGAAUGGGCCUAUACUGGUGAAGGAUACUUGCCUAUGUUUUAAUCCACACAAAGGCCUACUAGGUGAUUUAUUUUUGUUGUUCUUCAAAGUCCUCUCAUUUGCUAGGUUCUACAAAUACUAUCCGGCACACACAACAUUUAAGCAAUUUAGGCUCUGCAUAUCAUAUUGUUGUUAGAGAUUUAAGCUUUUCUGUUUGGAGCUCCCUUACAGAUUUAUCUGGUUUUGGAGUUAGAGAAAUUUGUCUUGAAGGGGAUCAUGUUCAUCCCAGUGAAAGGUGAGGGUACAAUUCCCAAUUUAAUUUCAUCGUGUGAAAUUAUGAAUUACGGAAGGGUUUGUUCAAUCAAUUCCUUUGCAGUAUCUGUAAUUGGAUUCCCACUUGAAUUACAUUUCGGUAGUGUAGCUAGGUAAUUUGGGAACAACUCAGAGUAGCAUAAUCAUGUCACUGUCUUAGGUUUUGCAAUGAAAGUUGCCAUAAAGAAAAUGGAUACAAAGGCAUCUCAAAAAUUCCUCGCUGAACUGAAGGUGACCAUUAAUCUUUUUCAACCUGAAUGCCCCAGUCAUGGUUCAGCUUGAGGGAAACUAACCGUCUUGAGGUAGUCAAUUUUUUAAUUUUCUGUAUAUAGCCUUUUCAGAGUGCACCUCUGCUUUCUAAAAUGAAGAUUGAUUUCUGAAUGUCAUGUAUGAUAAUUAGCCAUGGCAAGAAAAAAACACUCAGUAGCUUUUGAAAAACAAAAUAUAUUUGUAAAACCAGGGUAUUUCUCCAAUACUUGAAAAAUACUUUACAUCCAAAUGGGGUUACAUGUAUUACUCUUUCAAGGAGGAAGUACAUCUAUUCUGUGGCUGCAGCUUAUUCUAAGAAAUAUUUGAUGUGGAUCACUUUAUGAGCUACUGAGUUAGUUUCAUUUCUUAUUUUUCUAUUAAUACGAUGAACUACUAUUUGAUUUAAUGAUUUGGUUACUCUAUGAGGAUAGUUGUUCAACAAUAAUCUGCUUAUUCACCUAUUGUGUCACUGCCAACUACAGGAUUGCUGCAUCUGCAGAUCUUCAAUGCCUGUGUCGUAAAAUAUGCAGUUUUGCAUCUCCAUUUUGAUAAGAAUAUGGCUGCACAUUCUGCCUGUGACUUUAGAGGUGGGAGAGCUGAACUAGGUCUCCCUAAGUACAGGGAAGUUAUAUGGCCAGGGAUGGUAUCAAACUCAUAGCUAAGCGACGAGGAGCUUUGGAACACAGGACGCCGCACGUUGACAACUCUAACUUCCUUCUCACAAGGUAUAUGAUGAGAAGCCAGGAUCUCGAGCUUGCGCAAAACAUUUCCAUUAACAUGGCUUGCAUCUUCAUUUUUCUGAUUAUGAUUUGUCAAGAGAGCUGCAGGCACUAGGAUUUAAUAGUAAAACUCCACUCUAAAAGCUUACAUGUUGUGCUCACCUCAGGAGGUAAAUAAGCAACUCAAUGUGCUUCAACCAAUGGCCUCUGUCUCCCUCAAUGCAUUUGUGCUCAUCUUUUUGUAUUCUAUUUGCAUUAGAUAGGUAAAUCCUUGAGCUUACAUAUACCACUGCACUAUUUGUUAAGUGGCUGAAACUGAAUGGAAGACCAAUUCCUACAAGCUGGAAUUUUUUUAGUGUUAUUUUUUACCCUAAGGACAUAUUUUCAUUGCUGAAUUGUGCAUUUCUUUUGAAUACAAUUGGCCGUCUCGAAUCAAAGCGCAGCGCCAUGGAGAUGCAGAGCUGGUAAUAUGAGGACUCAAUUGAUGCAGAGCUGGGAAGUUGGAGAAGCAGAAGCUGUAGCACGCUUGGAGGGGAUUCGUUAGAAGCAGAAACAAAAGCUGCUGCAUGCUCGAGUCUUGUUGCGAAGCUCAAGAAUUGAGAAGUUUGGAGUGAAGCAAAAUAAAUUUAUGCAUGAGUCUUGUCAAUGUCAAAGAUGUAGUAUUCUUUUUUGUGUGUCAAGAGUCUUGUUUUGUAAUGAUAUUGUUGAAUCUGUGAUAAUAAAGCUCUCUUUGGCAAA